GCUGAUCAAGGAUGACCACUUUUUAAUUUGCGACUGCUGGAUGAAGUUUGCGGAUAUGGGACUGAGAUCAGCU
Molecule: small nucleolar RNA, 73 nt
Organism: Neoarius graeffei (lesser salmon catfish)
Lineage: Eukaryota; Metazoa; Chordata; Actinopteri; Siluriformes; Ariidae
Product: small nucleolar RNA SNORD99
Exons: 1
Source: RefSeq, a predicted model, not a curated record